UCUAUUUUCUUUAUUUGGGCCGCAGCCGUACCCGCCUGAUCUGUCAUGUGCAUUUUCAAUGAGGCUCCCUGAGGUUCUUACAGUGAUGAAUAAAGGAAUCUGCACAUUUGUACUACACAGUCUUCACUGAUUUAAUGAGAGCCAUGCCAGUGGUACUAAAUCAAGCCUAUCAUUUCCAAAAGGCUUUGAUUUUCAGGCAUUAAUACCAAUUACCAUGUUGUUGUUGACAAGACAAUGAGAUAUCCAGGAUAACAUUGGUCACAAUUAUAUUUACUGAAAGGAGAGGACUAAUGUGGACCCCGGUAUAGUAUUAGCUUUUUUUUUAAAGGAGAAGAUUUUUCUGGAGGGGAAAAAAAAAAAAAAAAACUGAAGGAAAAAAACCUUUUAGCUUCCAAUGAAAAUGGAACAUAUCUGUACUUUGAUUUUUCAUUUCAUUCAAACCAGACUUGGUAGAACUCAGCAGGGUGGUGCCAGGGACAUUCUCCAAUUUCCUGGUCUUGUUCUACAGCAGCAUAUUAAGCUUUUGGAAACAUCAAUCAGGAGACAGAAAAUUGAUUUUUCAGCUUUUGAGAUGGAGGACACGGAUGGACAGAAAUGUGUAACAUCAUGAGAGAACAUCAGUUUUGGAGUUAGCCCUGCAAUUCUUGGACGAGUAACUGAAUGGAAUGUAUCAUCUUGAGUUAGGGAGAAACUGCCCUGGAUAGUCCAAGCUUUGUUCCUGUCUCCUGUGGAAGUGGGAUAUCCAUCAAAGCUUUCCCCAGUGAGUCAUGUUGCUCCUGAGGAGUAGAAGGCAAGGUGAGCUGUCCUAUGGGGUCCCUCAGUUGUGGUGCAACUGGAGCAUGUACAACCAAGACUUCAUCUUCCCCAGACAGCUUCCUUGAGCCUCAGGGGUCUGGCUCACAACGGAUCCUAGGCUUCUUUUGUCCUGCUGCCUAUCUGUAAAUAAUAAAUCCACUUCUGAAAACUUGUGUGUGAGUGUGCUCUGUCUCACAGAACUCAGAUAAGUUGGUAACCAGUAUGCAGUGAACCUGCUGCAAAAU
This 1040-nucleotide long non-coding RNA is filed under the name Papio anubis (olive baboon). Its description in RNAcentral is "lncRNA (ENSPANG00000047387.1)". Lineage: Eukaryota; Metazoa; Chordata; Mammalia; Primates; Cercopithecidae. The record is from RNAcentral.